CCUACGGGAGGCAGCAGUGGGGAAUAUUGGACAAUGGGGGCAACCCUGAUCCAGCGAUGCCGCGUGAGUGAAGAAGGCCCUCGGGUCGUAAAGCUCUUUAGGCUGGGAAGAAGUGUGCAGUAGGAAAUGAUUGUACAUUGACGGUACCAGCAGAAUAAGCACCGGCAAACUCUGUGCCAGCAGCCGCGGUAAU
Molecule: ribosomal RNA, 193 nt
Filed under: uncultured bacterium
Lineage: Bacteria
Description: partial 16S ribosomal RNA
Rfam family: Bacterial small subunit ribosomal RNA
Source: RNAcentral